Molecule: ribosomal RNA, 350 nt
Filed under: uncultured bacterium
Lineage: Bacteria
Description: bacterial SSU rRNA
Rfam family: Bacterial small subunit ribosomal RNA
Source: RNAcentral
UAAGGAAUAUUGGACAAUGGGGGCAACCCUGAUCCAGCCAUCCCGCGUGCAGGAUGAAGGCCCUCUGGGUCGUAAACUGCUUUUAUAGGCCAAGAAUAGUUCCGAUUUAUCGGGAUAUGACGGUAGCCUAUGAAUAAGCACCGGCUAACUCCGUGCCAGCAGCCGCGGUAAUACGGAGGGUGCAAGCGUUAUCCGGAAUUACUGGGUUUAAAGGGUGCGUAGGCGGUUUAAUAAGUCAGAAGUGAAAAGUCCGAGCUUAACUGGGGCCUUGCUUUUGAUACUGUUAGACUUGAAAGGGGCUGAGGUCAGCGGAAUGUGACAUGUAGCGGUGAAAUGCAUAGAUAUGUCAU